RNAcentral lists this ribosomal RNA (254 nucleotides) under uncultured bacterium. Its description in RNAcentral is "partial 16S ribosomal RNA". It matches the Rfam family "Bacterial small subunit ribosomal RNA", at positions 79 to 334 of the family's 1533-position model. The record is from RNAcentral.
CUUUCUUUGCUGGCGACCGGCGCACGGGUGAGUAACACGUAUCCAACCUGCCCUUUACUCGGGGAUAGCCUUUCGAAAGAAAGAUUAAUACCCGAUAGCAUAAUGAUUCCGCAUGGUUUCAUUAUUAAAGGAUUCCGGUAAAGGAUGGGGAUGCGUUCCAUUAGGUUGUUGGUGAGGUAACGGCUCACCAAGCCUUCGAUGGAUAGGGGUUCUGAGAGGAAGGUCCCCCACAUUGGAACUGAGACGCGGUCCAA